UGGUUAUGGGGGGGGUCCAAGUGGGGGCAGCUCCUCAAGCCCAACACAUGGGGAGGGAGGGGGGGGUGGGGUGGAUUUGGGGGGCAGUUGUGGGUCCGGGGGGGCAGUUGUGGGGCAGUUGUGGGUCCGGGGGGGCAGUUGUGGGUCUGGGGGUUCCCCUGACCCCCCCGUGCCCCCCCCAGAGCCCCCCGUGACCAUCGCCAAGGGGCUGGACGACCAGCAGGUGGUGGUGGGGGAGCGGGUGGUGCUGGAGGCCGAGGUGUCGGAGGAGGGGGCCCAGGUCAUGUGGUGAGUGGGGGUCAUGUGACCACACGCGUGUCCGUCACCUGUCACGUGUCCAUCACGUGUCACGUCUCCAUCCCAUGUCCAUGCCAUGUCCCAUGUCCAUCCCGUGUCACGUGUCCAUCCCAUGUCCUAUGUCCAUCCCAUGUCACGUGUCCAUCCCGUGUCAUGUGUCCAUCCCAUGUCCAUCCCAUGUCACGUGUCCAUCCCAUGUCCAUCCCAUGUCACGUCUGUCCCAUGUCCAUCCCACAUCCCGUGUCCAUCCCAUGUCAUGUGUCUAUCGCAUGUACAUCCUGUGUCCAUCCCAGGUCACUUGUCCAUCCUGUGUCCAUCAUGUGUCCCACGUCCAUCCCGUGUCACGUGUCCAUCCUGUAUCCCGUGUCCAUCCCAUGUCCAUCCUGUGUCCAUCCCACGUCACGUGUCCAUCCCAUGUCACAUGUCCAUUUCAUGUCACAUGUCCAUCCUGUAUCCUGUGUCCAUCCCCUGUCCAUCCCGUGUCCCGUGUCCAUCCCGUGUCCAUCCCACGUCACGUGUCCAUCCCGUGUUCAUCUCCUAUCCUGUGUCACGUGUCCAUCCCACAUCAUGUAUCCAUCCCAUGUCACAUGUCCAUUUCAUGUCACAUGUCCAUCCCGUGUUCCAUGUCCACUCCCUGUCCCAUGUCCAUCCCGUGUCCAUCCCAUGUCAUGUGUCCAUCCUGUAUCCCAUGUCCAUCCCAUGUCCCAAUGUCCAUCCCAUGUCACGUGUCCAUCCCAUGUCAUGUGUCCAUCCCAUAUCCAUCCUGUCUCGUGUCCAU
Molecule: long non-coding RNA, 1075 nt
Filed under: Calidris pygmaea (Spoon-billed sandpiper)
Lineage: Eukaryota; Metazoa; Chordata; Aves; Charadriiformes; Scolopacidae
Description: lncRNA (ENSCPGG00000005969.1)
Source: RNAcentral